CAAUAGCAGUUGGUGGUUGCAUGGCUACCAUUGUCUCUUAGGAACAAUAUACAGUUAGUUACUGUGCUGAUUCAAUGUUGGAUUGAGUGAACUUGUUCAGGCUUUUUCACACAUUCAGGUUUUCAUUUGAGGGUGAAGAACAUAAGCAUAUAUCCAAAACCGGCAAAACAACUGUACAAAUUUCUGGCCAGAGCCAAAUUUUAACAACUAGAUUAAUCUAUUUUUAUUUAUUUAUUUCUGAGUUGUUGUAGCUACCUGAUCCAAUGUCCAUAUUUCUCAAGGAACAACUACGUGUCUGGAGAGCAUUCAAUGGAGAUAUUUGCUUGACUAACCUCCUUUUUUUUUAUCACUGUUGGUUUUCGGUGUAUUGUCUUAAAAUUAUAUGGGUCCAUGAUAAUAACAUGUGCUGUAUUGGCUUUUACACUCAAGGGUUACUUUCUCGUCUUGUUUUUA
Molecule: non-coding RNA, 453 nt
Organism: Camellia sinensis
Lineage: Eukaryota; Viridiplantae; Streptophyta; Magnoliopsida; Ericales; Theaceae
Source: RefSeq, a predicted model, not a curated record